AAAGACCAUUGAGUUAGUAAACCAGCUGAAAAGUUUUGCGCAAAAGACACACCUGUCCCUAACUACUAUCUAGCGAAACCACAGCCAAGGGAACGGGCUUGGCAAAAUCAGCGGGGAAAGAAGACCCUGUUGAGCUUGACUCUAGUCUGACUUUGUGAAGAGACAUGAGAGGUGUAGCAUAAGUGGGAGCCAAGGGAUCAAUCUUGGCUGUUACUUCGGUGGCAGUUAAGACCCCUUGGCUACAGUGAAAUACCACUACUCUCAUAGUUUCUUUACUUACACGGUUAAAGGGAAGUUGGGAUAGUGUCUCUCUCACUUGGGUUUACCUCAGGGUUCGGGAAGGCCUCCUAUCCUUAAAUUU
RNAcentral lists this non-coding RNA (361 nucleotides) under Tetranychus urticae (two-spotted spider mite). Its description in RNAcentral is "Eukaryotic large subunit ribosomal RNA". It matches the Rfam family "Eukaryotic large subunit ribosomal RNA", at positions 2119 to 2605 of the family's 3401-position model. The record is from Rfam by way of RNAcentral. Lineage: Eukaryota; Metazoa; Arthropoda; Arachnida; Trombidiformes; Tetranychidae.